UAGCCCGCUCCCAAGGCUGUUCCGCCUUGCUCCCAGGCUGCAUGCCCCCGCCCCUCUGCGUAACCUGGCGUCACUCGUCACGUGACGUCCGGCAGUGCUGCGAGGGGUAGGCGGUGGGUGUCGCUCCCGCUGCCACGGUCUGCGCAGGGAUGAUUUCCGCCGAAUGAAGCUCACUGAGGCGUGAUGGCGAGGGCCUAGGGGAAGGCGCAGACAGGCCCGGACGCCGCCUGUAGCUGCCCUCGGCCUCCCGGCCUCUGCGCGCUUUCCUGCGCCGUUGCUAGGCAGCCGCCUCUGGGCGCGGGAGGCAGGGCGGGCUAAUGCGGAAAGGUACGGGUGCCGGGGAGGGGCUGUGAUUGCGGAGGGUCCGGGUGUCUGGCAGAGGGCUAUGGAGCAGUACUGCAUCCUGGGCCGCAUUGGGGAGGGCGCGCACGGCAUCGUCUUCAAGGCCAAGCACGUGGAGACUGGAGAGAUCGUUGCCCUCAAGAAGGUGGCCCUGCGGCGGCUGGAGGAUGGCAUCCCCAGCCAGGCCCUGCGGGAGAUCAAGGCCUUGCAGGAGAUCGAGGACAGUCAGUAUGUGGUACAGCUGAAGGCCGUGUUCCCGCAUGGCGCAGGCUUCGUGCUGGCCUUCGAGUUCAUGCUGUCAGAUCUGGCUGAGGUGGUGCGCCACGCCCAGAGGCCGCUGGCCCAGGCGCAGGUCAAGAGCUACCUGCAGAUGCUGCUCAAGGGGGUCGCCUUCUGCCAUGCCAACAACAUUGUGCAUCGAGACCUGAAACCAGCCAACCUGCUUAUCAGUGCCUCGGGCCAGCUCAAGAUAGCGGACUUUGGCCUUGCCCGGGUCUUUUCCCCAGAUGGCAGCCGUCUCUACACGCACCAGGUGGCCACCAGGUGGUACCGAGCCCCUGAGCUCCUGUAUGGUGCCCGCCAGUAUGAUCAGGGUGUCGACCUGUGGGCUGUGGGCUGCAUCCUGGGGGAGCUGUUGAACGGGUCCCCCCUUUUCCCAGGGGAGAAUGACAUUGAACAGCUUUGCUGUGUGCUUCGAAUCUUGGGCACCCCCAGUCCUCAAGUCUGGCCGGAGAUCAAGGACCUGCCUGACUACAACAAGAUCUCCUUCAAGGAGCAGGCUCCCGUGCCCCUGGAGGAGGUGCUGCCCGAUGCCUCUCCCCAGGCCUUGGACCUGCUGGGGCAUUUCCUCCUCUACCCUCCACGCCAGCGCAUUGCAGCCUCCCAGGGCCUGGCAGGCUAGGCACUAAUUGCAUGUUGACUGACCAGAUACUCUUCUAGGUCUGGAAUGAGGCUUCAAGGACCAAGGAACUGUGGAGGCCUUUCACUGUUGUGGCCCCUUCCAUUGUGGAGCACAGGCUCCAGACGCGCAGGCUCAGCGGCCAUGGCUCACGGGCCCAGCUGCUCUGCGGCAUGUGGGAUCUUCCCGGACCGGGGCAUGAACCCAUGUCCCCUGCAUUGGCAGGCAGACUCUUAACCACUGCACCACCAGGGAAGCCCUGAUUAACUUUUUAAUUAGUCUUUAAUCAGAGUUGAUGAAUGAUAGUUAAGGAAACAAUAGGCCAACCAAAGAGUUUAAAAGGAAAACUGGGAAUGUGAUGUCCUUAGGGAUUUUGGAAAGCUCCAACACAUUCCUAGGAAUCUAGAAGGCCAAGUGCUUAUUCAGGGCUGUGUGCUAACUCAGGGAAGAUAUAAAAGGGCUCCAGACUUUUACCUCUGGUUAACCUUGAGGUUCCAUGGAAGCAGGAAGUGAAGACUAAGACAGAGAAGUCAACUGCCUGGCUGAGUGUUGAACACAUGCCCCAACCUGCACAUAGAGCGUUUGGCAAUCACUAGGAAAUUUAGUGGUUCCAGAAAUUUAGGAAAUAUCUGUUCUCUCAUUACUGCACAUUAAUUUAACUGAACAGGGACAUAAGUGGCCCUACAUAACAAAGAAUACAGACUUUCAGAGUUCAGAAACUUUUCAGAGUUACUCCACUAAACAAACAAAAAAUAAUAACAGCUAUAAUAAAACGGGUGGGGUGGAAUCAGAUUUCCAGAGUUCUGCAUUAUGUUAUUUAAAAUGUUCAGUUUUCAACAGAAGUUAUAAGUCAUGCAAAGAUAUAAAGUGUGGCUAAUAUGCAGGAAACAAAGCAAACAAUAGAGACUGUCCCCAAGGAAGCCCAGGCAUCAGACUUACUAGACAAAGACUUUAAAUCAACUAUUUCAGUAUGUGCAAAGAACUAGAGGAAACCAUGUGAAAAGAACUAAAGGGAAGUAUGAGAACAGUGUCUCAUUAAUAGAGAAUAUUAAUAAAGAGAAAUUAUAAAAAAUAACUAAACAGAAAUUAUGGAGUAGGAAAGUACAAUAUCAAAUUAAAAAUUCAAGAGCAGAUUUGAGCAGGCGGAAGAAAGAAUCAGUAAACUGGAAUAUAGGUCAGUUGAGAUUAUCCAGUCUGAGGAACGCAAUGAAGCUAAAGAUGAAGAAAAAUGAAUAGUGCCUAAGAGACCUGUGGGACACCAUCAAGCAUGCAAGCAACAAAUAAUAGGGAGUUCCAGAUGAGAGGAGAAAGAAAGUAGAAAGUAUUUAAAGAUAUGGCUGAAAACUUCCCAAAUUUGAUGGAAAAUGUUAAUUUACACAUCCAGAAGCUCAGUGAGCUGCAAGUAGGAUAAAGUCAAAAGAGUUCCAUUUCGAGACACUUUAUAAUCCAACUUGAAAGCCAAAGACAGAAUCUUGAAAGCAUCAAGAGAGAAGCAACUCAUCAUGUACAGGACAACCCCAAUGAGAUUAAUGGUUGAUUUCUCAUAAAAAACCAUGGAGCCCAAAAAGGAGUGGGCUGAUGUAUUGAAGGUGUGGGAAGAAAAAGAUUGUCAUCAAGAAUUCUAUAUCUAGCAAAAUGAAGGAGAAAAUUAAGACAUUCCUAGAUUAACAAAAGCUCUGAGAAUUUGUUGCUAGUAGAUGUGCCCUACAAAAAAUACUAAAGAGAGUCUUUCAGAUUGAUAUGAAAGGACAUUAGACAGGAACUUGAAUCCACGUGAAGAAGUAGCACCAGUAAAGUAGCCACAUAGGCAACAUAAAUGAAUUUUUUGUAACUCCUUUUUUCCUACGUGAUUUAAAGGACAACUGCAUAAAACAAUAAUUGUGACUCUCCAUUGGGUACAUAAUGUAUGAAGAAGUAAUUUGUAUGACAAUAACAGCAUGAAUGAGAGGGGCAUAAAAUGGAGCUACACAGGAGCUAAGUUUUUUGAUACUAUUAAGUUGAUAUUAAUCAAAACUAGAUUGUCAUAAAUUAAGAUUUUAUCCGGUAAUCCCCAAGGCAACCACUAAGAAUUAAAAGAAUAUACAGUUGAAGAAAUGACAAGGGAAUAGGACAUAAGAAAAUACUUAAUACAAAAGAAGGCAGUACCAGAGGAAUAGAAGGAAAAAUGCAUAGAAAUAAGCAAAAUGACAUAUGUAAAUCCUAUCUUAUCAGUUGUAUUAAAUAUAUAUGGAUUAAACACUCCAUUGAAAAGGCAGAGAUUGGCAGAAGGGAUUAAAAAUAUCCAAGUAUAUGCUCUUUACAAUAGACACAUUUUAGAUUCAAAGAUACAGGUUGAAAAUAAUAGAAUGGAAACAUAUACCAUGCAAACAGCAACCAAGAGAGAGCUAGAAUGACCAUGCUAAUAACAGACAAAAUAGACUUUAAGACAAAAAGUGUUACUAGAGACAAAGAAGGAUAUUUUAUAAUAAUAAACAGAUCAAUCCAUCAAGAAGAUCUAAAAAAUUAUAACUGUAUAUGGACCUAAUAACAAAGCAACAAAAUGCAUGAAGGGCUGACAAAAUUGAAGGGAGAAACAGACAGUUCAACAAUAGUUGGAGGCUUCAAAAAAAUGCAAACUCUUGAGUUGCAGUUGCAUGACCAAGGCUGCAUGACCCUGGGUUAGUUGUUUAACCCCUCUCUCAUAUCUAAAAUGGAGAUGAGGACCUACUUCAUGGGGUUGUUAUAUAGAUUGACUGGAAACACAAAAAGCACCUAUUCCUGACAUGUGGUGAGCACUCGUUCAGUGUCAUAUCGUUAUCCCCAUUUAACGGUGGAGGAAACUGAGGCCUACAUAGGCAAAGUGAGUUGUCCAAGCUAGUAGACGGUGAAGCUGGGAAUCAAAGCUAGGCCUACUGAUGCCAAAACACCUUCUAAUGACUCCUGUUCUGCCUGGGACUGUGGGGUCUUUGUUUCAGGCAGCUGUGUCUGAGACGCUGGUCCUCCGGUAAAGCCUCCCAGAUGACCCUGGGCACACAGACAUGGAAACAGUACUAUCUCUGCCGAUCCGAGCUGGAGUUCCAAAUGGAAUCUGGGUGGCCAGAGAAGGAUUUUAUCUGCAA
This is an RNA transcript of Globicephala melas (long-finned pilot whale), 4338 nucleotides long. It is a transcript of the gene named cyclin dependent kinase 20, with no coding region annotated. The record is from RefSeq and is a predicted model, not a curated record. Lineage: Eukaryota; Metazoa; Chordata; Mammalia; Artiodactyla; Delphinidae.